AUCCAGCUGAGUCCCAAAUGGGAUGAAACUCGCGUCCUGGAU
This is a non-coding RNA of Schistosoma haematobium, 42 nucleotides long. The record is from Rfam. NCBI's taxonomy places the organism in Eukaryota, Metazoa, Platyhelminthes, Trematoda, Strigeidida, Schistosomatidae.